GCCAGCAGCCAUAUCACUCUGCACCUCACAACUGGCAACCCACUGAAGCUAAGUGAGCCUGGUUAGUACCUGGAUGGGAGACCUCCUGGGAAAAACUAAGGUUGCUGCUGGAA
RNAcentral lists this ribosomal RNA (113 nucleotides) under Lepisosteus oculatus (spotted gar). The record is from RNAcentral. Lineage: Eukaryota; Metazoa; Chordata; Actinopteri; Semionotiformes; Lepisosteidae.